RNAcentral lists this ribosomal RNA (497 nucleotides) under uncultured bacterium. RNAcentral's name for it is "partial 16S ribosomal RNA". It matches the Rfam family "Bacterial small subunit ribosomal RNA", at positions 28 to 507 of the family's 1533-position model. The record is from RNAcentral.
GAUGAACGCUGGCGGCGUGCCUAAUACAUGCAAGUCGAGCGAACAGACGAGGAGCUUGCUCCUCUGACGUUAGCGGCGGACGGGUGAGUAACACGUGGAUAACCUACCUAUAAGACUGGGAUAAUUUCGGGAAACCGGAGCUAAUACCGGAUAAUAUAUUGAACCGCAUGGUUCAAUAGUGAAAGACGGUUUUGCUGUCACUUAUAGAUGGAUCCGCGCCGCAUUAGCUAGUUGGUAAGGUAACGGCUUACCAAGGCAACGAGGCGUAGCCGACCUGAGAGGGGGAUCGGCCACACUGGAACUGAGACACGGUCCAGACUCCUACGGGAGGCAGCAGUAGGGAAUCUUCCGCAAUGGGCGAAAGCCUGACGGAGCAACGCCGCGUGAGUGAUGAAGGUCUUCGGAUCGUAAAACUCUGUUAUUAGGGAAGAACAAAUGUGUAAGUAACUAUGCACGUCUUGACGGUACCUAAUCAGAAAGCCACGGCUAACUACGUG